UAAAGUACUUUCAGCAGUGAGGAAGGUGGUGUCGUUAAUAGCGGCAUCAUUUGACGUUUAGCUUGCAGAAGAAGCACCGGCUAACUCCGUGCCAGCAGCCGCGGUAAUACGGAGGGUGCGAGCGUUAAUCGGAAUUACUGGGCGUAAAGCGCAUGCAGGUGGUUUGUUAAGUCAGAUGUGAAAGCCCGGGCUCAACCUCGGAAUUGCAUUUGAAACUGGCAGACUAGAGUACUGUAGAGGGGAUAGAAUUUCAGGUGUAGCGGUGAAAAUGCGUAGAGAUCUGAAGGAAUACCGGUGGCGAAGGCGGCCCCCUGGACAGAUACUGACACUCAGAUGCGAAAGCGUGGGGACGCAAACAGGAUUAGAUACCCUGGUAG
This 377-nucleotide ribosomal RNA is filed under the name uncultured bacterium. Its description in RNAcentral is "bacterial SSU rRNA". It matches the Rfam family "Bacterial small subunit ribosomal RNA", at positions 426 to 793 of the family's 1533-position model. The record is from RNAcentral.